RNAcentral lists this ribosomal RNA (372 nucleotides) under uncultured organism. RNAcentral describes it as "partial 16S ribosomal RNA". It matches the Rfam family "Bacterial small subunit ribosomal RNA", at positions 527 to 896 of the family's 1533-position model. The record is from RNAcentral.
GUAGGUGGCAAGCGUUGUCCGGAAUUAUUGGGCGUAAAGCGCGCGCAGGCGGUUCUUUAAGUCUGAUGUGAAAGCCCACGGCUCAACCGUGGAGGGUCAUUGGAAACUGGAGAACUUGAGUACAGAAGAGGAAAGCGGAAUUCCACGUGUAGCGGUGAAAUGCGUAGAGAUGUGGAGGAACACCAGUGGCGAAGGCGGCUUUCUGGCCUGUAACUGACGCUGAGGCGCGAAAGCGUGGGGAGCAAACAGGGAUUGGAUACCCUGGUAGUCCACGCCGUAAACGAUGAGUGCUAAGUGUUAGGGGGUUUCCGCCCCCUUAGUGCUGCAGCUAACGCAUUAAGCACUCCGCCUGGGGAUACGGCCGCAAGGCUG